UGUGAAAGCGCAGUCCGAGCAAUCGGCGGAGAGACAGGUGUUGCAUGGCUGUCGUCAGCUCGUGUCGUGAGAUGUUGGGUUAAGUCCCGCAACGAGCGCAACCCUUGUCUUCUGUUGCCAUCAGGUUAAGCUGGGCACUCUGAAGAGACUGCCGGUGACAAACCGGAGGAAGGUGGGGAUGACGUCAAGUCAGCAUGGCCUUUAUGUCUGGGGCCACACACGUGCUACAAUGGCCGGUACAAACCGUUGCAAACUCGCGAGGGUGAGCUAAUCGGAUAAAGCUGGUCUCAGUUCGGAUUGUAGGCUGCAACUCGCCUGCAUGAAGUUGGAAUCGCUAGUAAUCGCGGAUCAGCACGCCGCGGUGAAUACGUUCCCGGGCCUUGUACACACCGCCCGUCACAUCACGAAAGCCGG
RNAcentral lists this ribosomal RNA (414 nucleotides) under uncultured bacterium. Its description in RNAcentral is "bacterial SSU rRNA". It matches the Rfam family "Bacterial small subunit ribosomal RNA", at positions 1000 to 1414 of the family's 1533-position model. The record is from RNAcentral.